RNAcentral lists this ribosomal RNA (327 nucleotides) under uncultured eukaryote. Its description in RNAcentral is "partial 18S ribosomal RNA". It matches the Rfam family "Eukaryotic small subunit ribosomal RNA", at positions 1470 to 1796 of the family's 1831-position model. The record is from RNAcentral.
CCCUUAGAUGUUCUGGGCCGCACGCGCGCUACACUGACGGAUUCAACGAGCUUACAACCUUGGCCGAAAGGUCUGGGUAAUCUCCAAAAUCCGUCGUGAUGGGGAUAGAUUAUUGCAAUUAUUAAUCUUCAACGAGGAAUGCCUAGUAAGCGCAAGUCAUCAGCUUGCGUUGAUUACGUCCCUGCCCUUUGUACACACCGCCCGUCGCUCCUACCGAUUGAAUGGUCCGGUGAAGUGUUUGGACUAUGGUUUUCUGAUGGUCCGCCGUUGGAUUACCGUGGGAAGUUCGUUAAACCUUAUCAUUUAGAGGAAGGAGAAGUCGUAACA